GAGCUCGUAGGCGGUUUGUCGCGUCUGGUGUGAAAACUCAAGGCUCAACCUUGAGCUUGCAUCGGGUACGGGCAGACUAGAGUGUGGUAGGGGUGACUGGAAUUCCUGGUGUAGCGGUGGAAUGCGCAGAUAUCAGGAGGAACACCGAUGGCGAAGGCAGGUCACUGGGCCACUACUGACGCUGAGGAGCGAAAGCAUGGGGAGCGAACAGGAUUAGAUACCCUGGUAGUCCAUGCCGUAAACGUUGGGCACUAGGUGUGGGGCUCAUUCCACGAGUUCCGCGCCGCAGCUAACGCAUUAAGUGCCCCGCCUGGGGAGUACGGCCGCAAGGCUAAAACUCAAAGGAAUUGACGGGGGCCCGCACAAGCGGCGGAGCAUGCGGAUUAAUUCGAUGCAACGCGAAGAACCUUACCAAGGCUUGACAUACACCGGAAUCAUGCAGAGAUGUGUGCGUCUUCGGACUGGUGUACAGGUGGUGCAUGGUUGUCGUCAGCUCGUGUCGUGAGAUGUUGGGUUAAGUCCCGCAACGAGCGCAACCCUCGUCCUAUGUUGCCAGCACGUCAUGGUGGGGACUCAUAGGAGACUGCCGGGGUCAACUCGGAGGAAGGUGGGGAUGACGUCAAAUCAUCAUGCCCCUUAUGUCUUGGGCUUCACGCAUGCUACAAUGGCCGGUACAAAGGGCUGCGAUACCGCGAGGUGGAGCGAAUCCCAAAAAGCCGGUCUCAGUUCGGAUUGGGGUCUGCAACUCGACCCCAUGAAGUCGGAGUCGCUAGUAAUCGCAGAUCAGCAACGCUGCGGUGAAUACGUUCCCGGGCCUUGUACACACCGCCCGUCAAGUCACGAAAGUCGGUAACACCCGAAGCCGGUGGCCUAACCCCUUGUGGGAUGGAGCCGUCGAAGGUGGGAUUGGCGAUUGGGACGAAGUCGUA
This 929-nucleotide ribosomal RNA is filed under the name Sanguibacter sp. Its description in RNAcentral is "bacterial SSU rRNA". It matches the Rfam family "Bacterial small subunit ribosomal RNA", at positions 565 to 1490 of the family's 1533-position model. The record is from RNAcentral. Lineage: Bacteria; Bacillati; Actinomycetota; Actinomycetes; Micrococcales; Sanguibacteraceae.